This 447-nucleotide ribosomal RNA is filed under the name uncultured bacterium. Its description in RNAcentral is "bacterial SSU rRNA". It matches the Rfam family "Bacterial small subunit ribosomal RNA", at positions 355 to 825 of the family's 1533-position model. The record is from RNAcentral.
UAACGAAUCUUCCGCAAUGCACGAAAGUGUGACGGAGCGACGCCGCGUGGAGGACGAAGUUCUUCGGAAUGUAAACUCCUGUCAGGGGAAAGAAAGUUCUGAUCUACCCCAGAGGAAGAGGCGGCUAACUCUGUGCCAGCAGCCGCGGUAAUACAGAGGCCUCGAGCGUUAGACGGAAUCACUGGGCUUAAAGCGUGUGUAGGCGGAAGGGUAAGUACCUUGUGAAAUCCCACGGCUUAACCGUGGAACGGCUUGGUAUACUGCUUUUCUUGAGCAAUCUAGGGGCGAGUGGAACAGAUGGUGGAGCGGUGAAAUGCGUAGAUAUCAUCUGGAACGCCAAUGGUGAAGACAACUCGCUGGGGAUUUGCUGACGCUGAGGCACGAAAGCCAGGGGAGCGAACGGGAUUAGAUACCCUCGUAGUCCCUGAGCGGGCUGGCAAGGCGCAU